RNAcentral lists this long non-coding RNA (970 nucleotides) under Oryctolagus cuniculus (rabbit). RNAcentral's name for it is "lncRNA (ENSOCUG00000034273.1)". The record is from RNAcentral. Lineage: Eukaryota; Metazoa; Chordata; Mammalia; Lagomorpha; Leporidae.
GGGAGGGGGGUUGGGAGCUGGGUCAGUUUGGGGGGUUUUCUGUGCCUGGCCAGAUGUAGCCUUGGCGUCCGUAGAAGAGGCCUUGACUCACGGCCUCUCUGCUCCAGGUUGUUCAGCAGUGUAAGGUUGUGUGUGCAGGAACACGGGGGCACGGGGUGCUUGAAUUAAUUGGAAUGUAAUCCAGUGAAUUUUCAGACUGCACACAUGGAGGAGAAAGCAGAAGCUUAGAGAAACGCCAAGAAUCCCCCUGUGCUCUGUUCCAGCCUGUCCAAAAUUCUGACACCUCACAGCACAGUCCUCUUCUUUGGCCCCUCUGAAAGACUACACCUCAGGUCUGGAUUCCUGUGUCAGAGGAACAGAAAGGCUCUUUCUGUGGAGAGUUUGGCGUGGUGGCCUUCCUGUCACUGGGUAGGAGGGGCCCGGGGGACAGUGAGUGGGGAGCAUGUGUGUGAGGGGUAGCUGAGAUAGAAGGUGGAGAAGAGUGGGUGUCAAGAGGAGGCUGGAGGAGAGAGGAAGGGGGGAGAAUGAAUGCUGGUGAGUGCCUUUGUGGUCACCUACCACCUUAACCUCAUCAUCCUGUCCAUCUCAGUCCAUGUGUGGUGGACAUACAACAAAGUCUGAGUAUCUGGAACUUAGUAUUUAAUGCUUAUGCUACAGUUAGUCCUGUGGUGCUGCUCAGUUCUGAUAAAAGAAUAAUCAGUAUUCUGAAAAGCACACAAUGUAAGAGCCAUUAAUGUUUACUAAUAUUGUGAUGGCAUAUUUUUCUUUAAAAUGUAUUUUAAUGCAGUUAAAUUAUUCAGUAGCAUAAAAUUUUUUUAAUUUCUGUAAGAGGAACAUUUCAUUUUUUCAUAUAUACAGGUUUUUUUUUUUUGACAGGCAGAGUGGACAGUGAGAGAGAGAGACAGAGAGAAAGGUCUUCCUUUGCCGUUGGUUCACCCUCCAGUGGCCGCCGCGGCCGGCACGCUGCGGC